AUGCGGAGGACCAAAAUGAGAAAAAGAGCGUCGAGAAAUGGAGCGCCCGAGCUAGUCUGGCACUGCGUUAGUCAGCCGCGGUUCGGUUGCAGCGCGCAGGCACGUGCGUGGACGCCUAAGGGGCGGGUCCUUCGGCCGGGAAGCCCCGUUGGCCCGCGCGGCUCUUCCUUUCCGAUCCGCCAUCUGUGGUGGGGCCGCCGCCAAGAUGCAGAUUUUCGUGAAGACCCUUACGGGGAAAACCAUCACGCUCGAGGUAGGGCGGGUGGCGUGCGAGCCAAGGCCCGACCGAGGCCUCAGUGCCGCCUGAGCUGCGCAUGGCUGCUCACAGGCGCCAGCGUUCGGCUUUCGGUGCCGAAGGUUCGCGCCUGCCCAUUCCGAGUGGCCGAGGGAAGGGAUGCGGCAGGAAGUGCUGCUCGCCGGCCAGGCUCGAGCGCGUGGCACGGCGGCCGCCGCUCGCCCGGGUCUGGGGACGGAGUUGGCUUGUACAACUCCAGGGAGGCGGUCCACUGAGUCCUUCGUCGAAUAGGUUGAACCCUCGGACACUAUAGAAAAUGUAAAGGCCAAGAUCCAGGAUAAGGAAGGAAUUCCUCCUGAUCAGCAGAGGCUGAUCUUCGCUGGUAAGCAGCUGGAAGAUGGCCGU
This is an RNA transcript of Peromyscus californicus insignis, 640 nucleotides long. It is a transcript of the gene named ribosomal protein S27a, with no coding region annotated. NCBI's taxonomy places the organism in Eukaryota, Metazoa, Chordata, Mammalia, Rodentia, Cricetidae. The record is from RefSeq and is a predicted model, not a curated record. The transcript has 4 exons.